UAUAAUCUCCCUUGCAUUAAGCUAUAUUUGACGUACCAAAACGAUUUUCAUUUUUCAAGUAAGAAUGGAUCUUCUUCCUACUAUAAAUGUCAUGUUUAAUGGAGUAAUACAUAACUGUCUUUUUGAUUAAUUAGUGUCCGACAUGAAAUCUAUCAAAACUUCUUUUUCAAAUAAAAAACUUAAAUUAAAUAUUUCAAAAACUAUAAAGAGACAGCAACACAAAAAUUGCAUUAAAAAAUCAACAACGGUCCAAGGUGACUAAUUUUGACAUUAAGGAUUUUAAAAAAUUGGUGAGUGCCUCUGAUAGGCAUUCGGGAGAUGGUUUCUCGACUAACGAAUUAUCUGUCAAGUGUUAUAACCACUAGAAUUAUAAAUACUCGAAAUAAGCUUCUGGCUCUUAUAUCACAAAAGGGGCUUACAAUGUUUCCGCUAUAAUUGUAAAUACUCGAAAUAAACUCAUGCAAAUCUCAGUGUCUUUUAUUUUUUUCUCUAAUUUCUCUCAUAAGUGAUUUAAGUUUUCUUUUUCUGCCUUAGAAAAUUAAUUUGAUAGCUAAAAGAGCCAACUUUCUAGUGUGUAAAUGACAAAAUAAAUGACGGAAGAAUGUUUGAGUUGACAGGUAACAAAGUUUGCCUUGUUGGAGACAAUCAAAGAAGCUGUUCCAGAUAUGUGGAGCGUUGAUAUGAAGAAUGCGUGGGGUGAGGCCUUUGAUCAGUUGGUCAAUGGUAUCAAGACCGAGAUGAAGUAGAGUUCUUCAUCCUAUGCUACAAAGUUGAAUGCAAACACAUACUAAUAGUAUUUCUUUCUUCAAGUUUUCAUCAAAAUGUAAUACGUA
Molecule: long non-coding RNA, 833 nt
Filed under: Nicotiana tabacum (common tobacco)
Lineage: Eukaryota; Viridiplantae; Streptophyta; Magnoliopsida; Solanales; Solanaceae
Description: long non-coding RNA (NTAB_LNC019640)
Source: RNAcentral